This 741-nucleotide ribosomal RNA is filed under the name uncultured bacterium. Its description in RNAcentral is "bacterial SSU rRNA". It matches the Rfam family "Bacterial small subunit ribosomal RNA", at positions 8 to 796 of the family's 1533-position model. The record is from RNAcentral.
AGAGUUUGAUCCUGGCUCAGAGCGAACGCUGGCGGCAGUAACACAUGCAAGUCGAGCGGGCAUUUUCGAAUGUCAGCGGCAGACGGGUGAGUAACACGUGGGAACGUACCCUUCGGUUCGGAAUAACGCUGGGAAACUAGCGCUAAUACCGGAUACGCCCUUUUGGGGAAAGGUUUACUGCCGAAGGAUCGGCCCGCGUCUGAUUAGCUAGUUGGUGGGGUAACGGCCUACCAAGGCGACGAUCAGUAGCUGGUCUGAGAGGAUGAUCAGCCACACUGGGACUGAGACACGGCCCAGACUCCUACGGGAGGCAGCAGUGGGGAAUAUUGGACAAUGGGCGCAAGCCUGAUCCAGCCAUGCCGCGUGAGUGAUGAAGGCCUUAGGGUUGUAAAGCUCUUUUGUCCGGGACGAUAAUGACGGUACCGGAAGAAUAAGCCCCGGCUAACUUCGUGCCAGCAGCCGCGGUAAUACGAAGGGGGCUAGCGUUGCUCGGAAUCACUGGGCGUAAAGGGCGCGUAGGCGGCCAUUCAAGUCGGGGGUGAAAGCCUGUGGCUCAACCACAGAAUUGCCUUCGAUACUGUUUGGCUUGAGUAUGGUAGAGGUUGGUGGAACUGCGAGUGUAGAGGUGAAAUUCGUAGAUAUUCGCAAGAACACCGGUGGCGAAGGCGGCCAACUGGACCAUUACUGACGCUGAGGCGCGAAAGCGUGGGGAGCAAACAGGAUUAGAUACCCUAGUAGUCC